AGGAAUAUUGGGCUAUGCCCGCAAGGGUGACCCAGCAACGCCGCGUGGAGGAUGAAUGUCGUAAGAUUGUAAACUCCUGUUAGAGGGGAAGAAUAGUACCGGUUGGACCGGUAUAUGACUGUACCCUCAGAGAAAGCCCCGGCUAACUACGUGCCAGCAGCCGCGGUAAUACGUAGGGGGCAAGCGUUGUCCGGAUUUACUGGGUGUAAAGGGCGCGCAGGCGGGAUAAAAAGUCAGUGGUGAAAUCCUACAGCUUAACUGUAGAACUGCCUUGGAUCAUUUUAUUCUUGAGUUCGGGAGAGAGAGACGGAAUUCCAGGUG
This 321-nucleotide ribosomal RNA is filed under the name uncultured bacterium. RNAcentral describes it as "bacterial SSU rRNA". It matches the Rfam family "Bacterial small subunit ribosomal RNA", at positions 357 to 675 of the family's 1533-position model. The record is from RNAcentral.